AUUGAACGCUGGCGGCAUGCCUUACACAUGCAAGUCGAACGGUAACAGGUUAAGCUGACGAGUGGCGAACGGGUGAGUAAUGUAUCGGAACGUGCCCAGUCGUGGGGGGAUAACUACUCGAAAGAGUGGCUAAUACCGCAUGAGACCUGAGGGUGAAAGCGGGGGAUCGCAAGACCUCGCGCGAUUGGAGCGGCCGAUAUCAGAUUAGGUAGUUGGUGAGGUAAGAGCUCACCAAGCCGACGAUCUGUAGCUGGUCUGAGAGGACGACCAGCCACACUGGGACUGAGACACGGCCCAGACUCCUACGGGAGGCAGCAGUGGGGAAUUUUGGACAAUGGACGCAAGUCUGAUCCAGCCAUGCCGCGUGCGGAGAAGGCCUCGGUUG
Molecule: ribosomal RNA, 385 nt
Filed under: uncultured bacterium
Lineage: Bacteria
Description: bacterial SSU rRNA
Rfam family: Bacterial small subunit ribosomal RNA
Source: RNAcentral